Molecule: small nuclear RNA, 23 nt
Filed under: Arabidopsis thaliana (thale cress)
Lineage: Eukaryota; Viridiplantae; Streptophyta; Magnoliopsida; Brassicales; Brassicaceae
Description: snRNA_02025
Source: RNAcentral
AACUCCUUUCUUAUCUCGUACCU